GAGUCUGUGUGUUUUGUUAAAUGUUGCCAAGCAGAGCAGCUUAUCUGACCAUCUGCAUCUGUCCCUGAAUUUUGGGCAGUGGCUUGGGGACGCAUUAUCCCAAGGAGCUUCCUUCCAGCUACGCGUGUGCCGUGUCCCCUCGCGGUGGCCGCAGAUGGGCUGAUGGCCGCUCUGUGACCAGGCUCUGGCUUGGCUUUGGCAGGCUGGCAUCCUGCAGCUGCCCCGGGCCCUGGCAGAGCCCCAAAUGUGCCUCCAGAUGCCUGCAGGAUCAUAUUUUGUGAUACAACAGCUAAUAGCUGAAGAACUCUGCCAUGAAAGUCCCAAGCAGCCCAGCCUUAGCAGUAAUGCAAAUAGAGAUUUCCCCCUUCGGAGCAAAAUGCCAUGAUGCUCACAAGAGCUAUAUAGACAGAAAAUGGUGCUGAUAGAAGCAAAAGAGGAAAGUUUUCAUCAUCCAAACAACAUGGACCUAAAUAUUGGAACCUAACAUUGGAAACUAAAGGCCAAUUACUCCCUGAGGUGCAUGGGGGGCCACUUCCACUGUAAUCAGUCUUGUGAUUGUGAAGGCAGAAGAGGACCUUGACUGUCUGUAUCUGGACUUUGUCAGCCCAUUUGUUUGUGACCAUAGUUGUAUCAUUACUGUGCUUUUCAAUAAAGGGAUGUUCACUGAGGCA
This 671-nucleotide long non-coding RNA is filed under the name Junco hyemalis (dark-eyed junco). RNAcentral describes it as "lncRNA (ENSJHYG00000007112.1)". The record is from RNAcentral. Lineage: Eukaryota; Metazoa; Chordata; Aves; Passeriformes; Passerellidae.